AAGAGAGCAUUUCUUGUGAAAAAAAAAUUGAUAUCGAGUUAAAAAUAAGACUUUACGUAUGAAGUAAUUAAUAAAAUCAAAUUAUUUAGAGAUAUUUAAUUAAAUUAUAUAAAUAAUAAACAACGUAUUAUAUUACCUUAGCGUAGGCUUUAAAGAAUUUCAAUUUAAAAAAUACUCUAUCGAUCGUAUAGAUUAUUACUUGUUUAUGUAUUGUAAAUAUAUAUGACACGUAAACAAUGAUUUGAAAUUUGUAAAUAUUAAGUGCAUAGUAAUGUGAAUUUAUAACACAAUGAUAACAGCGGAAUUUUGCAAACGGUACCGAUGAACUUUAUUAUUAUUAUUAUUAUUAUUUAGUUUUUUAUAAUGUUGUAUCAAUUAUAUAGUAAGAAGCAUGACUUUAGCUAGACAGACAAUGACUGGGGAGAGAUUAGAAAUGAUUUCCUAAUCUCAUAAAAUGCUUUUAUAUAUUCCCCUUUUCUCCCAGGAUUAUUUAAACGUAUUUUAUUUUAUAAAUCCGGAAGAGAGUGGGGGGAUUAAAAAUUUCAGGAGGGAGGAACUUUAAUAAGAAUAUAGGAUUAUGGACAGAAUCCUUAAUCCACUAAGAGCUAAAGAGAUCCAAUGGAAUACCACACAGGAAAAUCAUUAACUUAAUGCGCUUUACUAUCACAGGGGAGCUUUGUAAUCACUUUAGGCUCGACUGCUAGCCACAUAAGGGCGAUAAAAAAGCGAUUUAAUAAAAGCGAGAAUUCGCUAACCAAAAUACAUUAAAAACAAGACGGAUGAAAAAAAAAGGCCGUCGGUUUGUCCGUCCUCUCGCGGGACACACUGAUUGUGAAAGACUUGUUUGUUCGGUUUCGGGUAGUAAAAAAUCCCCCUUUCCCCGUCAAGGAAAGUAUUUAGCUGUCCUGACGCUAACUAAUAAAGUAAGGAGAGGCUAAACGUUCCGCAUUCGAACAAGGAUGUCGGUGACGUAACGAGUGACGUCAACGUGAUGUCAGACAAUCGGGUACGGUUACUAUGACGACCAAGGACAAGAUGGAGUGUGGGCAGUGGACGUGACGGCAUUUCUCCACCCCGGCGAAGAAGGGGUAGGACGAAGGUUCAUCGCUGCGAAUAUACAAUCAGCGAUUCUCACGUUUAAUUGUAAUUACCUAAAGCGAUUAAAGGUGGAAGAAAGUAACUCGAGGGAUUUGGCGGAUAGUUUGGACGAAAGCAGGUGCUUGAUGAACAAUCGCGAAUUAGCCCUUUUGGCUUUUUUUUUUCCUUUAAGGGGGCUUACAAACACCAGACCCCUAUCCCUGUUUACAAAACAUCCCCAUUGUUGAUAUGUUUUUGGCGGAUUGUUUGUAAGAACCGAGGGGGUCAAAGGUCGAUUGUUGUUGGUUCCUAACAUCUGUCAGGCACACGUGAGGAGAAAAAAGCGCCUUGUUUUCUUCAAAAACUACUUCGCAGACGUGUUCUGGCCGAGUUCCAAUGUUUGGAAUCGAAUCCCAAACAGGCACGGAAGGAGACGGAUAACUUGAGUUUUUGCCUUAAAUGAUCGUGUCAAAAAUAUCUGUUCGGUGUCUAAUUAUAGAAUUAAAACAAUAGUUUCUCGGAUCUCGCCUUAUUUUUCUGGUAGAACAAUAUUGUUUACGACGAAGGAAGGUAAAGAAAGAAGAAAAAAAACAAUGACUGUACGCCCACGUCGUGUUUCUGCGCCGAUUAACACCGAGCGAAAGCACGUUUUGAACGUAUGAUGAACACAGGAUAUUGCCGAAAUAAAUGUAAUAUUAUAAUCUCAUCAACAUCGCAACCCACUCCUACCUGGCUGCUGGGGGAAAGGAAGCGAAGUCGCACGUAAUGACAUUUUGUCAUGCGCCCCCGUCAUAGUUGCCAUGGAGACGCUGCGUUUCUCACCUGGCGCCCGUCCAACUCUCACCUGUACUGACGUGGGUGAGAGGUGAUCUUUCGCCUCCCCCUAAAUGUAAUGUGGGUACGGUCACACGAGUGCUCACGGUCGUUACGUCAUGCAUACUAAUUACAUCGCUUCGUAAUUCGAAUCCAAGAUUCGAACCCGCAAGCCCAAAGCGCCAUCUAUCGAUUCCAAGGUUUAAAAAUAACCCCCCCCCAACGACAGACCAGAAAGAAUAGGUCUGUAGAGAAGAAGGACUUUAAAAAAAUCUGUUUACGAGUUGAUUAGCGUAGAAGUAAACCCGUUUUGUGAUAUUCCCCCUUCUCCUUCUCCUCCUCCUCCUCCUUCUUCUUCUUCCCACUGUUUUUGCCACCAUCUUGUGUAAGCCUGAAGCUUCGACAUUUGCACGGUCGCUUCUCGGUAAACAAAAAUUUCGCGUGGAUGGACGAGUAAGCAGAAAGGCUCAAACACAAGAGCAACUUUAAGAGAAUCGAUCGAUAGUUUCGUUUCUUGCGAACCCGAUAGGCGUAUUUUCUAUGACGGAACACAAAUUUUUUUGGGGAGGAGAAAAAAAAAAUGGUAGCCAAAUUAACUGGCACGCGUGAAGAAGACGUUACGAUUUCGAAACGUGAAAGUAAAAACUCAAUUAAAAAGUAGCCUGUUCGAUGGGGUAGAGGUAGGAAAACAUGUCACAAUUACACUUUCCGUUCAGGUAGAAGCUGCCCCAUCGUGGCCCGACCUUGACUGACAGCAGAGAUAAGUGCCGAGGGGUUGUUCGAGAUGCGAAGAAAUAAAAACGAAUGAUACAAAACUAAGGUUUCCCAAGUUGCCAAGGUCGAUGUAAUGUCGCUGCAAGGGUUGCCCAAUCAAGGUCACGGGCGGUUAGUGUCGCCAUCUGUCAUCGAAAUCGCUAACUUUCGUGGGUUGUCCCCCUUCUUUUUUUUUUAAUAUAUUUUUUUCUUUACAUCUUCGAGAAAAAUUCUGUAGCAAUAGUAAAAAUUUCGCACGUGCUAAUAUACUAAAGCAAUUAGCUAUAAACCGAAUGAUAAAAAGUGGCGAUAGCAUUGGGUGUAAUGAUGAUAAUAAUAUUUAAUGGGGUAGAAUUAAUAUAAAACGUAUUGUCCUAUUUCGUGGCUUUGAUACCGGAUAAAAAGUUGGAUAACGUGUUAAUUAUAGAUGUAUCAUUAAGAUAAAAGACGAAAGGAUGUGUUUUGGAUAGGUUUUUUGUGUUUUUCCUUUAAGAAAAGCGAAAUGGUUCCUUCGAUAAACUAAAGACACGCCGGGUUUAGAGAAAUUUAUGAUGGAGUAGCCAGGUUUUGGCUUAGUCUAGGUUGUUAGAAAUCGGUUUUUAUUCUUAAAAUAUAAAUUUUUAAAUCAUUUAAUUCGUCUAUUUUUCGCUUUAAUUUAAUCAUUUCGAACUAAAUUAGGAGAGUAAUUAAAAUAUUUUAUUACCCUCCCAUUUAGAAAAGUAGAAGAAGUAGGAGUUGGCAUUGUUCAUAAGGGGAUUGCUUUAAAUUAUACGUAUAAAACCGAAUUAUUUGUACGUUAGAAUAAGUAAAUUGUACACGUAAAUUCUAAAAUGACACUGUUACUGUCGAAGCGUAAAGAAACCAAAGCGAUACAAGUGUAAAGAAGAAUCAAACAAGUUUAUUUAAUUAAAAAAAAAAGUAAAGAGAAAGAUGUAAAUAAGUAGGAUUCCAUAGAAAAUUGUUAAAGAAUUAAUCCAUCAAGAAAUUCAUCAGGAUUUAAAAUAAUUUAAAGAAAAAAAAAUCAAUAUAUAUUUUUUUCUCUUAAUUAAAGCGAUAAUUCGUGUGAAGUAUCCAGAAUUAAAAAAAAAUGAUGAUAAUAACCGGAAUAUUCGGCCUUUUUUUAAGCUUUAUAUUACCGAUGAAAGGGUUUUAUUUUGGUGAAUAUAGAUUUACGGAGCGACGACAGUUUCGUUUAGUAAAUCAGAAAUUUUAGAGAAUUUAUAUUAAGUUUCUUUAACAAGCUGAAGAAGUAAAAAAAGUGACAGUUUAACGACUUUAGUUAAUGGCGAUAAUUUCACUACGGUUAACAAAUCAAAUAUUUCCUGCUGUUAAUGAUAUCGUUUAUUGUCUAACUUCAGUUUUUCGCCCCUCGAUAGUAUUUUACGUCGAUUGGAAUUAGGAUAAUAUCGUAAAAAAAAAAAAAGAAAUCGCUUAAUAUUUAACAAAAAGUCUGUCAAAGCAACGACAAUAAAAAAAAAAA
This is a long non-coding RNA of Centruroides sculpturatus (bark scorpion), 4123 nucleotides long. RefSeq lists it as uncharacterized. The record is from RefSeq and is a predicted model, not a curated record. The transcript has 2 exons. Lineage: Eukaryota; Metazoa; Arthropoda; Arachnida; Scorpiones; Buthidae.